RNAcentral lists this transfer RNA (72 nucleotides) under Dermacentor silvarum. RNAcentral's name for it is "transfer RNA proline (anticodon UGG)". It matches the Rfam family "tRNA". Rfam says of the family: Transfer RNA (tRNA) molecules are approximately 80 nucleotides in length. Their secondary structure includes four short double-helical elements and three loops (D, anti-codon, and T loops). The record is from RNAcentral. Lineage: Eukaryota; Metazoa; Arthropoda; Arachnida; Ixodida; Ixodidae.
CGCUCGUUGGUCUAGGGGUAUGGUACUCGCUUUGGGUGCGAGAGGUCCCGGGUUCAAAUCCCGGACGAGCCC